RNAcentral lists this ribosomal RNA (460 nucleotides) under uncultured bacterium. Its description in RNAcentral is "partial 16S ribosomal RNA". It matches the Rfam family "Bacterial small subunit ribosomal RNA", at positions 338 to 795 of the family's 1533-position model. The record is from RNAcentral.
CCUACGGGAGGCAGCAGUGAGGAAUAUUGGUCAAUGGGCGCUAGCCUGAACCAGCCAAGUAGCGUGAAGGAUGACUGCCCUAUGGGUUGUAAACUUCUUUUAUAUGGGAAUAAAGUGCAGUAUGUAUACUGCUUUGCAUGUACCUUAUGAAUAAGGAUCGGCUAACUCCGUGCCAGCCGCCGCGGGAAUACGGAGGAUCCGAGCGUUAUCCGGAUUUAUUGGGUUUAAAGGGAGCGUAGGCGGGUUGUUAAGUCAGUUGUGAAAGUUUGCGGCUCAACCGUAAAAUUGCAGUUGAUACUGGCAUCCUUGAGGACAGUAGAGGAAGGCGGAAUGCGAGGUGUAGCGGUGAAAUGCUUAGAUAUCACGAAGAACUCCAAUUGCGAAGGCAGCCUGCUGGACUGUAACUGACGCUGAUGCGCGAAAGUGUGGGUAGCAAACAGGAUUAGAUACCCCUGUAGUC